Molecule: non-coding RNA, 294 nt
Organism: Nicotiana tabacum (common tobacco)
Lineage: Eukaryota; Viridiplantae; Streptophyta; Magnoliopsida; Solanales; Solanaceae
Source: RefSeq, a predicted model, not a curated record
CAUCUCCUUUGUGCAGGCUUCUUGAGAAAGAUACAUCUUUCAAGUUUGAUGAUGCUUGUCUGAAAGCAUUUGAUGAGCUGAAACGAAGAUUAGUUACUGCACCGAUUAUCAUUUCUCCAGAUUGGAAACUUCCAUUUGAAUUGAUGUGUGAUGCAAGUGAUAUAGCCAUUGGAGCUGUUUUGGGGCAGCGGAAAGAGAAAAUAUUUUGUUCCAUUCACUAUGCGAGAAUUUGAUUUGGAGAUUCGAGAUCGAAAGGGAACAGAGAAUCAGGUUGCAGAUCAUUUAUCCAGGCUG